Molecule: unclassified non-coding RNA, 254 nt
Filed under: uncultured Ascomycota
Lineage: Eukaryota; Fungi; Ascomycota
Also listed under: 1 other name
Description: sequence contains ITS2
Source: RNAcentral
AACGCACAUUGCGGCCAUAGGUAUUCCUUUGGCCAUGCCUGUUCGAGCGUCAUUUACACCCUCAAGCCUAGCUUGGUGUUGGGCGUCUGUCCCGCCGUUCUCGCGCGCGGACUCGCCUCAAAGUCAUUGGCGGCGGUCGUGCCGGCCCCCUCGCGCAGCACAUUUGCGCUUCUCGGAGGCCCGGCGGAUCCGCGCUCCAGCAAGACCUUUCACGACUUGACCUCGGAUCAGGUAGGGAUACCCGCUGAACUUAA